UGAGUGGCAGACGGGUGAGUAACGCGUGGGAAUAUACCCUGUAGUACGGAAUAACUCAGGGAAACUUGGGCUAAUACCGUAUACGCCCUUAGGGGGAAAGAUUUAUCGCCGAAGGAUGGGCCCGCGUUGGAUUAGCUAGUUGGUGGGGUAACGGCUCACCAAGGCGACGAUCCAUAGCUGGUCUGAGAGGAUGAUCAGCCACACUGGGACUGAGACACGGCCCAGACUCCUACGGGAGGCAGCAGUGGGGAAUAUUGGACAAUGGGGGCAAGCCCUGAUCCAGCCAUGCCGCGUGAGUGAUGAAGGCCUUAGGGUUGUAAAGCUCUUUCGUUGGGGAAGAUAAUGACGGUAC
RNAcentral lists this ribosomal RNA (352 nucleotides) under uncultured Devosia sp. Its description in RNAcentral is "bacterial SSU rRNA". It matches the Rfam family "Bacterial small subunit ribosomal RNA", at positions 92 to 478 of the family's 1533-position model. The record is from RNAcentral. Lineage: Bacteria; Pseudomonadati; Pseudomonadota; Alphaproteobacteria; Hyphomicrobiales; Devosiaceae.